AUGAACGCUGGCGGCGUGCCUAAUACAUGCAAGUAGCACGCUGAAGGCAGGAGCUUGCUCUUUCCGGAUGAGUUGCGAACGGGUGAGUAACGCGUAGGUAACCUGCCUGGUAGCGGGGGAUAACUAUUGGAAACGAUAGCUAAUACCGCAUAACAGUAGAUGUUGCAUGACAACUAUUUGAAAGGGGCAAUUGCUCCACUACCAGAUGGACCUGCGUUGUAUUAGCUAGUUGGUGAGGUAACGGCUCACCAAGGCGACGAUACAUAGCCGACCUGAGAGGGUGAUCGGCCACACUGGGACUGAGACACGGCCCAGACUCCUACGGGAGGCAGCAGUAGGGAAUCUUCGGCAAUGGACGGAAGUCUGACCGAGCAACGCCGCGUGAGUGAAGAAGGUUUUCGGAUCGUAAAGCUCUGUUGUAAGAGAAGAACGAGUGUGAGAGUGGAAAGUUCACACUGUGACGGUAUCUUACCAGAAAGGGACGGCUAACUACGUG
This 496-nucleotide ribosomal RNA is filed under the name uncultured bacterium. RNAcentral describes it as "partial 16S ribosomal RNA". It matches the Rfam family "Bacterial small subunit ribosomal RNA", at positions 29 to 507 of the family's 1533-position model. The record is from RNAcentral.